AAGGGUUGGGCUCACCAGCGGAAGUAAUUGGAUCUCCUCCCAGUCACCGGAAAGCUAUCAAUCAGCUAGUUGUUCCACUGGAGUGAGUACUUUGGAGGCGGGGCCAAAUAAACUACGCAGAACUUGCCCAAUAUUAAUAUAAACAACACAGAAUUUUGCCACUGCACACGUGAUAGCUGGGUUUUGAGUCCUGGAAGAGAAAGCCUACAUAAAAAUUAUCUGUUCUCCCUGGCAAUCUCUCUAAUAGGAAGAAUAUAUACUGACCUAUAAACUCUGUAUAACUCACAGUACAAUAAAACAUGUGAGAUA
Molecule: long non-coding RNA, 309 nt
Organism: Pantherophis guttatus
Lineage: Eukaryota; Metazoa; Chordata; Lepidosauria; Squamata; Colubridae
Source: RefSeq, a predicted model, not a curated record